This 301-nucleotide ribosomal RNA is filed under the name uncultured bacterium. RNAcentral's name for it is "partial 16S ribosomal RNA". It matches the Rfam family "Bacterial small subunit ribosomal RNA", at positions 509 to 807 of the family's 1533-position model. The record is from RNAcentral.
CAGUAGCCGCGGGAAUACGUAGGUGGCAAGCGUUGUCCGGAAUUAUUGGGCGUAAAGGGCUCGCAGGCGGUUUCUUAAGUCUGAUGUGAAAGCCCCCGGCUCAACCGGGGAGUGUCAUUGGAAACUGGGAAACUUGAGUGCAGAAGAGGAGAGUGGAAUUCCACGUGUAGCGGUGAAAUGCGUAGAGAUGUGGAGGAACACCAGUGGCGAAGGCGACUCUCUGGUCUGUAACUGACGCUGAGGAGCGAAAGCGUGGGGAGCGAACAGGAUUAGAGACCCCAGUAGUCCCUGUCUCUUAUAC